UUACACAUGCAAGUCGAACGGCAGCACGGACUUCGGUCUGGUGGCGAGUGGCGAACGGGUGAGUAAUGUAUCGGAACGUGCCCAGUAGCGGGGGAUAACUACGCGAAAGCGUAGCUAAUACCGCAUACGCCCUACGGGGGAAAGCAGGGGAUCGCAAGACCUUGCACUAUUGGAGCGGCCGAUAUCGGAUUAGCUAGUUGGUGGGGUAACGGCUCACCAAGGCGACGAUCCGUAGCUGGUUUGAGAGGACGACCAGUCACACUGGGACUGAGACACGGCCCAGACUCCUACGGGAGGCAGCAGUGGGGAAUUUUGGACAAUGGGGGAAACCCUGAUCCAGCCAUCCCGCGUGUGCGAUGAAGGCCUUCGGGUUGUAAAGCACUUUUGGCAGGAAAGAAACGUCAUGGGUUAAUACCCCGUGAAACUGACGGUACCUGCAGAAUAAGCACCGGCUAACUACGUGCCAGCAGCCGCGGUAAUACGUAGGGUGCAAGCGUUAAUCGGAAUUACUGGGCGUAAAGCGUGCGCAGGCGGUUCGGAAAGAAAGAUGUGAAAUCCCAGAGCUUAACUUUGGAACUGCAUUUUUAACUACCGGGCUAGAGUGUGUCAGAGGGAGGUGGAAUUCCGCGUGUAGCAGUGAAAUGCGUAGAUAUGCGGAGGAACACCGAUGGCGAAGGCAGCCUCCUGGGAUAACACUGACGCUCAUGCACGAAAGCGUGGGGAGCAAACAGGAUUAGAUACCCUGGUAGUCCACGCCCUAAACGAUGUCAACUAGCUGUUGGGGCCUUCGGGCCUUGGUAGCGCAGCUAACGCGUGAAGUUGACCGCCUGGGGAGUACGGUCGCAAGAUUAAAACUCAAAGGAAUUGACGGGGACCCGCACAAGCGGUGGAUGAUGUGGAUUAAUUCGAUGCAACGCGAAAAACCUUACCUACCCUUGACAUGUCUGGAAUCCUGAAGAGAUUUAGGAGUGCUCGCAAGAGAACCGGAACACAGGUGCUGCAUGGCGGUCGUCAGGCUCGUGUCGUGAGAUGUUGGGUUAAGUCCCGCAACGAGCGCAAACCCUUGUCAUUAGUUGCUACGAAAGGGCACUCUAAUGAGACUGCCGGUGACAAACCGGAGGAAGGUGGGGAUGACGUCAAGUCCUCAUGGCCCUUAUGGGUAGGGCUUCACACGUCAUACAAUGGUCGGGACAGAGGGUCGCCAACCCGCGAGGGGGAGCCAAUCCCAGAAACCCGAUCGUAGUCCGGAUCGCAGUCUGCAACUCGACUGCGUGAAGUCGGAAUCGCUAGUAAUCGCGGAUCAGCAUGUCGCGGUGAAUACGUUCCCGGGUCUUGUACACACCGCCCGUCACACCAUGGGAGUGGGUUUUACCAGAAGUAGUUAGCCUAACCGCAAGGGGGGCGAUUACCACGGUAGGAUUCAUGACUGGGGGUG
RNAcentral lists this ribosomal RNA (1435 nucleotides) under uncultured Achromobacter sp. RNAcentral's name for it is "bacterial SSU rRNA". It matches the Rfam family "Bacterial small subunit ribosomal RNA". The record is from RNAcentral. Lineage: Bacteria; Pseudomonadati; Pseudomonadota; Betaproteobacteria; Burkholderiales; Alcaligenaceae.